RNAcentral lists this transfer RNA (73 nucleotides) under Candidatus Omnitrophota bacterium. RNAcentral's name for it is "tRNA-Thr". It matches the Rfam family "tRNA". From Rfam's summary of the family: Transfer RNA (tRNA) molecules are approximately 80 nucleotides in length. Their secondary structure includes four short double-helical elements and three loops (D, anti-codon, and T loops). Further hydrogen bonds mediate the characteristic L-shaped molecular structure. tRNAs have two regions of fundamental functional importance: the anti-codon, which is responsible for specific mRNA codon recognition, and the 3' end, to which the tRNAs corresponding amino acid is attached (by aminoacyl-tRNA synthetases). tRNAs cope with the degeneracy of the genetic code in two manners: having more than one tRNA (with a specific anti-codon) for a particular amino acid; and 'wobble' base-pairing, i.e. permitting non-standard base-pairing at the 3rd anti-codon position. Lineage: Bacteria; Pseudomonadati; Candidatus Omnitrophota. The record is from RNAcentral.
GCCGAUGUAGCUCAGCUGGUAGAGCAACUGAUUUGUAAUCAGUGGGUCGGGGGUUCGAUCCCUCUCAUCGGCU